RNAcentral lists this microRNA precursor (94 nucleotides) under Marmota monax (woodchuck). Lineage: Eukaryota; Metazoa; Chordata; Mammalia; Rodentia; Sciuridae. The record is from RNAcentral.
AGUGGGAUAGCUGGGUCAAAUGGUGGUACCAUUCCAAGGAAUCUCCAUACUGCUUUCCAGAUUGGCUGCACCAAUUUACAGUCUCACUAGCAAU